Molecule: ribosomal RNA, 504 nt
Filed under: uncultured bacterium
Lineage: Bacteria
Description: partial 16S ribosomal RNA
Rfam family: Bacterial small subunit ribosomal RNA
Source: RNAcentral
AUUGAACGCUGGCGGCAGGCCUAACACAUGCAAGUCGAGCGGUAGCACAGAGAGCUUGCUCUCGGGUGACGAGCGGCGGACGGGUGAGUAAUGUCUGGGAAACUGCCUGAGGGAGGGGGAUAACUACUGGAAACGGUAGCUAAUACCGCAUAACGUCGCAAGACCAAAGAGGGGGACCUUCGGGCCUCUUGCCAUCAGAUGUGCCCAGAUGGGAUUAGCUAGUAGGUGGGGUAACGGCUCACCUAGGCGACGAGCCCUAGCUGGUCUGAGAGGAUGACCAGCCACACUGGAACUGAGACACGGUCCAGACUCCUACGGGAGGCAGCAGUGGGGAAUAUUGCACAAUGGGCGCAAGCCUGAUGCAGCCAUGCCGCGUGUAUGAAGAAGGCCUUCGGGUUGUAAAGUACUUUCAGCGGGGAGGAAGGUGUUGAGGUUAAUAACCUCAGCAAUUGACGUUACCCGCAGAAGAAGCACCGGCUAACUCCGUGCCAGCCGCCGCGGUAA